CAAGGCCUUCAAUAUUUCUGUCCCUUUCUAUGUGAAGGGCACAUGUGAAGCCAGCUGCAGUCCCUGGAAGGCACUGAUGUGACCGUGGAGCACUGCUGUGCAACCACACCACCCAAAAAGCAUGGUGGGAGCUGAGCUGCUUGAUUCCAUGCUCUGCUCAAAAACAACCAGGCACAGAGAGAUCCUGGGAACAUUUAAGUGUCUCUUUUCACCACAGCAUGAGUGGGAAAAUGUGACUCACAUCACAGAGAUGGUGAAGCAACAGAAUUCCUGAGAGGAGCGCUGCAAACUGGAUGGACUUUGUUGUGAUGGCUGUGAGGAGCUCGCUGGUGGAUCGCCUCAUUGUAAAGAUUUGGAGUCUUCAAGAAUACUUUUACUUAAGUAAUUAUCCCGUAGAGAGCUUCACUGCCAAGUAGAAGAGGCCCUUUCUCUCAGAAGAUGGGAUGAAUGUAUUUCUGCACUCAGCCACUCCGAAAACCCUUUUCCAAGGGAUGCGUCCUCUCUGAACUUGGCAGGAAUGCGCUUGACAUUAAUUGUAGGACCAGGCAGCACCGCUUCUGACCGCUGGUGAGGGAACAGCUGAGAAAUUUCAUUCUCAACACUGGUGCCUUUGGCUCUGGUUGGAAUGGCACAUCACUCACAAGACGCAGUGACACACACAGCGUGGAGAGUUAUGUCCUUCCUGUGGAUCAUUUACACACGCUUACGUUUAUACAUUUUUACUUUCCAGUGGUGUUAAUAUGGCACCCCCUGGAGGAAAUAUGUUUGAAAACACUUGAAGAAAAUAUUAAUUAAAAUCCCCUUUGAAACCAAUGCUUUAAACAGACUGUAAAUUUUCCCAGUUAUCUAUGGAGAGGGGCCUUUGCAGAAACGUUUGUGUCAUUUUUAUCUGUAGGCAGUCUUUCAUCCUGAGAUGACACAUGCAAUUUUUUUCCUCCUUAGACUAAACGUGUCAGUCUAAGACUCUUACUGUGUAAGUGCUGGAGAAUUAAGGAGUCAAAAAGGAAACCCAGAAUGGCAUCCA
Long non-coding RNA from Tympanuchus pallidicinctus (lesser prairie-chicken), 1024 nucleotides. RefSeq lists it as uncharacterized. The record is from RefSeq and is a predicted model, not a curated record. NCBI's taxonomy places the organism in Eukaryota, Metazoa, Chordata, Aves, Galliformes, Phasianidae. The transcript is spliced from 3 exons.